Molecule: ribosomal RNA, 735 nt
Filed under: uncultured bacterium
Lineage: Bacteria
Description: bacterial SSU rRNA
Rfam family: Bacterial small subunit ribosomal RNA
Source: RNAcentral
GACGAACGCUGGCGGCGCGCCUAACACAUGCAAGUCGAACGAGCGAGAGAGAGCUUGCUUUCUCAAGCGAGUGGCGAACGGGUGAGUAACGCGUGAGGAACCUGCCUCAAAGAGGGGGACAACAGUUGGAAACGACUGCUAAUACCGCAUAAGCCCACAGCUCGGCAUCGAGCAGAGGGAAAAGGAGCAAUCCGCUUUGAGAUGGCCUCGCGUCCGAUUAGCUAGUUGGUGAGGUAAUGGCCCACCAAGGCGACGAUCGGUAGCCGGACUGAGAGGUUGAACGGCCACAUUGGGACUGAGACACGGCCCAGACUCCUACGGGAGGCAGCAGUGGGGAAUAUUGCACAAUGGGGGGAACCCUGAUGCAGCGACGCCGCGUGGAGGAAGAAGGUCUUCGGAUUGUAAACUCCUGUUGUUGAGGAAGAUAAUGACGGUACUCAACAAGGAAGUGACGGCUAACUACGUGCCAGCAGCCGCGGUAAAACGUAGGUCACAAGCGUUGUCCGGAAUUACUGGGUGUAAAGGGAGCGCAGGCGGGAAGACAAGUUGGAAGUGAAAUCUAUGGGCUCAACCCAUAAACUGCUUUCAAAACUGUUUUUCUUGAGUAGUGCAGAGGUAGGCGGAAUUCCCGGUGUAGCGGUGGAAUGCGUAGAUAUCGGGAGGAACACCAGUGGCGAAGGCGGCCUACUGGGCACCAACUGACGCUGAGGCUCGAAAGUGUGGGUAGCAAACAGG